AGAAAGAGGUGUAAGUGACACAAACGGUGAAACAUCGUUCGCAGCCUCGUGAAUCAACAAGGAUUAUCCCCGUUUAAAAAUUAAAUUACAACAUAUACGCUGUGCGCUGUGAAAAAAAAACAACUUGAGGUAAUGUGAAAUAUUUCAAGUUAUCGUGUGAUAAUCGUAGAGGUUUUUCUUUCGAAGAAGAGAGAAAGAAAAAAAGAAAACGGGGAAGAACGAGAGAUAAUCCUUAUCUAGGCAAACGAUCGACAUAAAUCGUGAUAAAUCAGACGAUAUUCGUCCCAUAUUUUUACAUGUAUCGAUAGAGUGGGCAGAUCACUUGGGACACUUCCUUAUUAUUUAGUCCAACAGCAUACUACGUCGCAUGGAACUGCUGAGACUGCGACAGCUUGUUGGCGCUUUUGUGAUGGCUGGACGUGUGUCUUUCCUGAAAAUGACAAAUAAAGAUGUGAUGUUUGCUCUAUGAAAUAAUGGAGGAUGAUUGAAAAUUCGCUAAUACUUCAUAAAGGUCAUGCUGACUUAUGGGACCUUAGGUGGACAAUACUGAAUCUAAUCUUGAAGAGAAACAAAAGUUAAGUAAAAGGUUUCCAAACACACUAAUUGCAUAAUUGAGUUGACAUUGUUACGAUACCAACAAAUUGAUGUCGAAUUGAUGAUAGUUUUAUUACGACGGAAUUAAAAUAUUGAAAUGAAAUGCCAACUAAGGUUCUAUGGAAUAUGCUACAUGUACAAAAAGGAGUGAGAAAAUAGACAGAAGCAGUUAUAUGUAAUAAAAAGUAAUAUACAAUAGUGUCACAUGCUACUAUUUCUACCAAACUAUUUCAUAAACUUGAAGAGAAAAGAAAAUAUUAAUAGCGUUUUCGCUUGACUUUGGAUAGCUCUGAAAAUGAUUAACGAUCAGUAACAGUCUCGCGUAAGGUCUCAACUCGCAAAUAUAAAAAAAAUAUAUAUGUACACGUAUAUGUAUAUAUAUACAUUUUUUAAAUGUAUAUCUCUUUAUUAUAUAUUUCUUCAGUCCAAUAAAAAUUUAUACAAAAAUUAAUUGCUUCCAGAGCAAUUCACUUAUUGUUAGUCGAAAAUGCUAAAAGAAAAAAAAAGUAUCGUUCAGAGAUCGCGGGGGACUUUUUUUACCUUUGCAAAAUAAAUAUUCGCAUUAUUUUAACAUAAACAUCCCCGUAUAAAUAUCUUCAUUAAUUUCAAAAAAAUGGGAGAAAAUUGUUCAUAGUAUAAGAUAGAAGGCACAUCGACAUGAUGAUGAAAAAUCA
RNAcentral lists this long non-coding RNA (1268 nucleotides) under Camponotus floridanus (Florida carpenter ant). RNAcentral's name for it is "uncharacterized LOC105258447, transcript variant X5". Lineage: Eukaryota; Metazoa; Arthropoda; Insecta; Hymenoptera; Formicidae. The record is from RNAcentral.